CUUUAGGAUCUUGGUAGUUAGCGCCUUCUUUGAUUUGUGCCGCAGCUUGUCUAUUAGGCAUGAUGGUGGGUCCUGAAGACAGACCCAUUGAGGAAUGACCGCCCUUGAAGGUAAAGGAAAGAAAGAAAUGGUAAAGAUGCAACAAUGAGAGCAAAAGGUCAGCAAAAGAAGGGAAGCAACAAGGCAUCCAGCAAAAACACUGUCCUGGCUUGAACUACUGACAACCCUUCAAUCCGGACUUGGAAGUUAACAAAUUGCAACCCAAGAGAGACUCGUCACCUCACCAUCCGGAUACCUUUUUCUUUCUUUGCUGCUUCUCCAUAUCUGCUGACUUCUAAGUUCCCAGCUCUCAGCUCAAAGGGUAAAAUAUUGGCAGAGCCGUGGCAGGGGCACAACAAUGCAAUGCAGACUCCCCGCAGAAUAUCCAGUGUGUCAGCUAAAAUUUGACUGCAAAAAAGAAGAAGGUGUAGAAGUGAAAAAGAAGGAAAUGGGUGUAAGAAGUACAACCAAAUUUUGAUUGCAAGCAGAAUGAACUAAAGAGAGGAACAAAAGGACACGAGGAAGCAGACCUUCCAGUUAAUGUAAAAUAAGAAACAGAGGCAGGUAGAGGGGUGCUCUUGUGUUUUCCAGAAAUAUUUCUCUUAAAAUAAUUAGACAUUUGACCACUGGCAGAGAAAACAAUAUAUAAAAAGAUGAUGCACAGAAAAAUGUGUUGUUGUUAAUAUUUGUCAA
This is a long non-coding RNA of Syngnathus typhle (broad-nosed pipefish), 732 nucleotides long. RefSeq lists it as uncharacterized. Lineage: Eukaryota; Metazoa; Chordata; Actinopteri; Syngnathiformes; Syngnathidae. The record is from RefSeq and is a predicted model, not a curated record. The transcript is spliced from 3 exons.